GGGGAUAUAGCUCAGUUGGUAGAGUCUUGUCUCACAUAUACAAGGCCCUGGGUUCAAUCUCCAGCACCACA
RNAcentral lists this transfer RNA (71 nucleotides) under Marmota monax (woodchuck). RNAcentral describes it as "tRNA.Val". Lineage: Eukaryota; Metazoa; Chordata; Mammalia; Rodentia; Sciuridae. The record is from RNAcentral.